Zootermopsis nevadensis is the source of this 247-nucleotide non-coding RNA. NCBI's taxonomy places the organism in Eukaryota, Metazoa, Arthropoda, Insecta, Blattodea, Termopsidae. The record is from RefSeq and is a predicted model, not a curated record.
GGCCUAGCUGGUUGACACUUUGCAAAUAUGGUUUUCUAAAUUGAAACUGAAACUAGUAAGGAUAUCCAGGCUGUAGCCACUGCCAGCUUCAGACAUCACAACCUGUGUCUUUAAAUGAUCGUCCAGUCAGCGGUUUCUCCCAGAUGCAGUUAUAAGUAGCAAGAACACUAGUUCCAGACUGGAGGACCAUGUUCGAUUCCAGGCAUUCUGAGAUUGUACCUUGAGAUGUGGCAUGUGCCUUGCGAGC